UUGCAGAGUAGAUCAUAAAGAAGAAUAUAAAUAAAUAUAUUAGAGAAAAUAAUAAGAUAAAACUAAGUAAAAAUUUGAAUCUAUUAGGGGCUGUUUGGUUUGACGUAGAACUGCGAAAAAAAAAUUUCGGUGGAAAAAAAUUUUCCGUGGAAAAUAUUUUACGUGGUGUAGUGUUUGGUUUGUAGGAAAAGAAAAGUAGUUUUCGAUGAUGGUUGUUUGGUUGAAAAACAAGGAAAAGUAGAUAAAAAGCUAUAUAAUAUAUUUUUUAUUAUAUAUAUUAUUAUUAUAUAAUAAUUAAUAUACUAUAUAUAUUAUUAUUAUAAUUUUUACAUAUAGAUUAAAUAUAUUUAAAAUUAUAAUAAAUAUAUUAUAUAAUAGUAUAUUAUAUUUAGUACUAUAAAAUAAAUAAUUAUAUUUAUAAAUAUAAUAUUAUAUAAUAAUAUAUUUAUAUAAAAAAUAAUAUAUAUAUAUAAAACACAUAAUGAAUG
Molecule: long non-coding RNA, 488 nt
Filed under: Ananas comosus (pineapple)
Lineage: Eukaryota; Viridiplantae; Streptophyta; Magnoliopsida; Poales; Bromeliaceae
Description: long non-coding RNA (ACOM_LNC014059)
Source: RNAcentral